Molecule: ribosomal RNA, 470 nt
Filed under: uncultured bacterium
Lineage: Bacteria
Description: bacterial SSU rRNA
Rfam family: Bacterial small subunit ribosomal RNA
Source: RNAcentral
ACUCCUACGGGAGGCAGCAGUGAGGAAUAUUGGUCAAUGGGCGCAAGCCUGAACCAGCCAUGCCGCGUGCAGGAAGACUGCCUUAUGGGUUGUAAACUGCUUUUAUAUGGGGAAGAAACCCCUCUACGUGUAGAGCUGGUACAGGGUACCAUAAGAAUAAGCACCGGCUAACUCCGUGCCAGCAGCCGCGGUAAUACGGAGGGUGCAAGCGUUAUCCGGAAUCAUUGGGUUUAAAGGGUCCGCAGGCGGUCAAUUAAGUCAGAGGUGAAAUCCUAUAGCUUAACUAUAGAACUGCCUUUGAUACUGGUUGACUUGAGUUAUACGGAAGUAGGUAGAAUGUGUAGUGUAGCGGUGAAAUGCAUAGAUAUUACACAGAAUACCGAUUGCGAAGGCAGCCUACUACGUAUAUACUGACGCUCAUGGACGAAAGCGUGGGAGCGAACAGGAUUAGAUACCCUGGUAGGACAGUG